This 143-nucleotide ribosomal RNA is filed under the name uncultured eukaryote. RNAcentral describes it as "partial 18S ribosomal RNA". It matches the Rfam family "Eukaryotic small subunit ribosomal RNA", at positions 1299 to 1453 of the family's 1831-position model. The record is from RNAcentral.
UGGUGGAUUGAUUUGUCUGGUUAAUUCCGUUAACGAACGAGACCCCUGCCUGCUAAAUAGCUAAUCUAAUGUUUGUUCAUUGUUUUUAGCUUCUUAGAGGAACUUUUCGUUGGCUAACGAAAGGAAGUUGGGGGCGAAUAACA